Molecule: non-coding RNA, 75 nt
Organism: Myotis brandtii (Brandt's bat)
Lineage: Eukaryota; Metazoa; Chordata; Mammalia; Chiroptera; Vespertilionidae
Source: Rfam
GGUGGUUCUCAGGUGACGCACCCCAGAAUCGGGCUCCCUCCUCUCUGGUUCCAGGCGUGUCACCCGAGAAUCGCA